This 423-nucleotide ribosomal RNA is filed under the name uncultured bacterium. RNAcentral describes it as "bacterial SSU rRNA". It matches the Rfam family "Bacterial small subunit ribosomal RNA", at positions 107 to 518 of the family's 1533-position model. The record is from RNAcentral.
UGAGUAACGCGUAUCCAACCUUCCCUAUAGUAGAGGAUAGCCCGGCGAAAGUCGGAUUAAUACUCUAUGUUUUCCGAUGCAGACAUCUAAGUUGGAACAAAGGUUCACCGCUAUAGGAUGGGGAUGCGUCUGAUUAGAUAGUAGGCGGGGUAACGGCCCACCUAGUCGACGAUCAGUAGGGGUUCUGAGAGGAAGGUCCCCCACAUUGGAACUGAGACACGGUCCAAACUCCUACGGGGAGGCAGCAGUGAGGAAUAUUGGUCAAUGGGCGAGAGCCUGAACCAGCCAAGGUUAAGCGUGCAGGAUGACCGGCCCUUAGUGGGUUAGUAAACUGUCUUUUAGUCGGGGGAAUAAAGUGAGGGACGUGUCCUUUUUGUAGGUACCCGAUGAAUAAGGACCGGCUAAUUCCGUGCCAGCCGCAGC